Aspergillus vadensis CBS 113365 is the source of this 138-nucleotide non-coding RNA. The record is from the annotation of a RefSeq genome assembly. Lineage: Eukaryota; Fungi; Ascomycota; Eurotiomycetes; Eurotiales; Aspergillaceae.
GGCAAGAUGGCCGAGUGGUUUAAGGCGUCGCACUUAAGUCGUUGGACUUCCAGCUUUGGUUUAAUAGACUAGACUGGUGCUUUGUUUAGCGGAAAUGCGAUCUCGUAAGAGGCGCGGGUUCGAACCCCGUUCUUGCCA